AUUAUAUAUCUCGCGUUUUGAAAUUGUAAUUUCGGUUUGUGUAAUAUAUUAUAUGUGAUGCUGCUGGUGUUCGCAGGUACGCCCAAUUUGCUAGAUCGCGGGAUUCAAAAUGUGCGGCCCUCUUCAUCAUAAUUGAUGGCGAUAAUAACAGACAUACCUAAGUGAUAAACGAGAAAAACCAACAAGCUGCUGCAUGUAAACAAUGGACGGGCCAGCAGAUUCUCUCACACAAGAGUGAGAGGAAGGCGCAGCAGAUUAUUUUAUUGCAGCAGCCCGGCGAGCGAGCGGCGGUGCGAACAAAAAAUUAAUCGCAAAAUCUACUUGGUAGUAAUUUUGAAGCAUCAGCAAUAAAAGCGGCACCUAAAACUUUUACACACAUACACUCUUUGCGUUCUUUAUAUACACCCAGUUCGUGAAUUUCCAAGAGCAAAUUUGCACUUUGUGGAUUAAAUUGUUGUGAAACUGGAAAACAUUUCCUGUCUGCAGCGAUAAAGGGGCAGUGGCUGGA
Molecule: long non-coding RNA, 508 nt
Organism: Neocloeon triangulifer
Lineage: Eukaryota; Metazoa; Arthropoda; Insecta; Ephemeroptera; Baetidae
Exons: 3
Source: RefSeq, a predicted model, not a curated record